GGCGCGGUACGCAAAGCAGGAAAAGCGGCCAAGCUCAAACCUUGGUGAACUGCGGGUUCGACUCCCGCCUGCGCCA
Molecule: transfer RNA, 76 nt
Filed under: Planctomycetota bacterium
Lineage: Bacteria; Pseudomonadati; Planctomycetota
Description: Planctomycetes bacterium (sediment metagenome) tRNA-Leu
Rfam family: tRNA
About the family: Transfer RNA (tRNA) molecules are approximately 80 nucleotides in length.
Source: RNAcentral